RNAcentral lists this small RNA (286 nucleotides) under Tistlia consotensis USBA 355. Its description in RNAcentral is "alpha proteobacterium USBA 355 5' ureB small RNA". It matches the Rfam family "5' ureB small RNA". Lineage: Bacteria; Pseudomonadati; Pseudomonadota; Alphaproteobacteria; Rhodospirillales; Rhodovibrionaceae. The record is from Rfam by way of RNAcentral.
UCCUCGAUCUGCUGCGGGCAGAUGAAGUGGAUGUGCACGUCCAGGCCGCCGGCCGUGACGAUCUUGCCCUCGCCGGCGAUCGCCUCGGUCGAGGGGCCGACGACGAUGUCGACGCCGGGCUGGACGUCGGGGUUGCCGGCCUUGCCGAUCGCGGCGAUGCGGCCGUCCCGGAUGCCGAUGUCGGCCUUGACGAUGCCCCAGUGGUCGAGGAUCAGCGCGUUGGUGAUGACCGUGUCGACGGCGCCCUGGGCGCGCGUCGCCUGCGACUGGCCCAUGCCGUCGCGGA